CAAACGCACCAGUAAGACAAAUAAACAGUCGCUCCAUGAGCAGGUAAUGCAUGGUUUAACAGGGGAAAGGCUUUUAAGAGGCUGCUGAAGUCAGCUCAAUAUGGAAUACACCAUUUCAGCGAGAGAGUGACCCAGUCAAAAUCAUUAACAUCAAUAUGAAUGAGAUCCUUCCUGCCCACUGCCAUCUGGGCCUCUAACGACACCAGCAGACGACUUUGUUCCACCUGGCCAUGGAGAUGUCAACAACUACUGUAGUUCCAGUACCUGUUCCUGCAAGCUGAAUUGAAAUUAUUAUAAUUAUUUGGGGCUUUAUUUCUGCCAUAUUCUGUGUUAUAUAUUGUCAGUUUCUUUAUAAAGAUUGUUUGUUUACUGUUCAUAAUCACACUGAAAUAUAAACAAUUUUGGCUCCAAUUUAAAUAUAUUUAUACAUCGUUGUUCAGUAUAAUAAUUUGUUCUAGUAGUGGUGACUUAAUGCAAAAAACACCAGCAGUUGCUGUUAAAAGUAUUUUUUUUAAAUAGUGACAAUCUCGUUUGAAACAAUUAAGCUUCAUGGUUGGAGCUCAAUGGAAUUAGAAUAAAACAGAAUGGAGUGGAA
Molecule: long non-coding RNA, 595 nt
Organism: Oncorhynchus nerka (sockeye salmon)
Lineage: Eukaryota; Metazoa; Chordata; Actinopteri; Salmoniformes; Salmonidae
Exons: 3
Source: RefSeq, a predicted model, not a curated record